AGCGAACGCUGGCGGCAGGCUUAACACAUGCAAGUCGAGCGGGCGUAGCAAUACGUCAGCGGCAGACGGGUGAGUAACGCGUGGGAACAUACCUUUUGGUUCGGAACAACACAGGGAAACUUGUGCUAAUACCGGAUAAGCCCUUACGGGGAAAGAUUUAUCGCCGAAAGAUUGGCCCGCGUCUGAUUAGCUAGUUGGUGAGGUAAUGGCUCACCAAGGCGACGAUCAGUAGCNGGUCUGAGAGGAUGAUCAGCCACAUUGGGACUGAGACACGGCCCAAACUCCUACGGGAGGCAGCAGUGGGAAUAUUGGACAAUGGGCGCAAGCCUGAUCCAG
This 336-nucleotide ribosomal RNA is filed under the name uncultured bacterium. RNAcentral describes it as "bacterial SSU rRNA". It matches the Rfam family "Bacterial small subunit ribosomal RNA", at positions 29 to 391 of the family's 1533-position model. The record is from RNAcentral.